Molecule: ribosomal RNA, 253 nt
Filed under: uncultured bacterium
Lineage: Bacteria
Description: partial 16S ribosomal RNA
Rfam family: Bacterial small subunit ribosomal RNA
Source: RNAcentral
UACAUGGGGUGCAAACGUUGCUCGGAAUCAUUGGGCGUAAAGCGCGCGUAGGCGGUUACUUAAGUUGGAUGUGAAAGCCCUCGGCUUAACUGAGGAAGUGCAUCCAAAACUGAGUAGCUAGAGUACGAAAGAGGGUCGCGGAAUUCCCGGUGUAGAGGUGAAAUUCGUAGAUAUCCAGAGGAAUACCAGUGGCGAAGGCGGCGAUCUGGGAAGAUACUGACGCUGAGGUGCGAAAGCGUGGGGAGCAAACAGG